CAAAGCUUGCAUGCCACGAGUGGCCUGCACCACCACCACCGAGGUCCUCUGACUGCCCUCGAAGGGGAAUGGACUUGGCCCCUUGGAUACAGCAGGUCUGUGGAACGAAGAUGCUGGACCUCAGAAAGGCUUGGGGCUGGAUGGAUUUCCUUCCACACAAGGGACAGCAGUGGCCUAUGUGACCCAUUAUGGACGCUCUCCUGCC
Pelobates cultripes (western spadefoot toad) is the source of this 205-nucleotide non-coding RNA. The record is from the annotation of a GenBank genome assembly. Lineage: Eukaryota; Metazoa; Chordata; Amphibia; Anura; Pelobatidae.